Molecule: ribosomal RNA, 253 nt
Filed under: uncultured bacterium
Lineage: Bacteria
Description: partial 16S ribosomal RNA
Rfam family: Bacterial small subunit ribosomal RNA
Source: RNAcentral
UACGGAGGGGGCGAGCGUUAUUCGGAAUUAUUGGGCGUAAAGCGCGCGUAGGCGGCUCGAUCAGUCUGCUGUGAAAGUCAAAGGCUCAACCUUUGAAUGCCGGUGGAUACUGUCGAGCUAGAGUCCGGAAGAGGCGGGUGGAAUUCCUGGUGUAGCGGUGGAAUGCGCAGAUAUCAGGAGGAACACCAACGGCGAAGGCAGCCCGCUGGGACGGUACUGACGCUAAGGCGCGAAAGCGUGGGGAGCGAACAGG